Molecule: transfer RNA, 67 nt
Filed under: Cricetulus griseus (Chinese hamster)
Lineage: Eukaryota; Metazoa; Chordata; Mammalia; Rodentia; Cricetidae
Rfam family: tRNA
About the family: Transfer RNA (tRNA) molecules are approximately 80 nucleotides in length.
Source: Rfam by way of RNAcentral
AGAUGGCUCAGUGGUUAAGAGCACUUGUUGCGGUUGCAUAGGACCUGGGUUCAAUUCCCAGCAUCUA